RNAcentral lists this ribosomal RNA (99 nucleotides) under Vibrio cholerae. The record is from RNAcentral. Lineage: Bacteria; Pseudomonadati; Pseudomonadota; Gammaproteobacteria; Vibrionales; Vibrionaceae.
UUUGGACCCACCUGACUCCAUCCCGAACUCAGAAGUGAAACGAAACAGCGUCGAUGGUAGUGUGGGGUCUCCCCAUGUGAGAGUAGAACAUCGCCAGGC